CUGGGUCCAAGAAGAAGUUAACUAAAAGAACUUACAAGCACGUCGACACGGCGUCGCAAAUCAUAAUAUCAAGGGAAAUAUUAUCAUAUUACUUGCAGCAAAACCAGUUUAUGAGAGUGAAAAAGGCGGAGGCAAAACUUUGAAGAGGUUUGCGGGAGUUCUGAAGAAAUGCAGUCAUGAGGGUUCAUCUCUGAAACCCUAUUACCCUUCUGAGUGUGUUUCCCUGUCAUGUCUGACAACGGAGAGCUGGAGGACAAACCCCCUGCCCCUCCAGUCAGAAUGAGCAGG
Cyprinus carpio (common carp) is the source of this 288-nucleotide long non-coding RNA. RefSeq lists it as uncharacterized. Lineage: Eukaryota; Metazoa; Chordata; Actinopteri; Cypriniformes; Cyprinidae. The record is from RefSeq and is a predicted model, not a curated record. The transcript has 3 exons.